AAACUCCGUCUCUACCAAAAAUACAAAAAUUAGCCGGGCGUGGUGGCGGGUGCCUGAGUCCCAGCUACUCAGGAGCUGAAGCAGCAGAAUCGCUUGAACCCAGGUGACAGAGGUUACAGUGAGCUGAGAUCAUGACACUGCACUCCAGCCUGGGUGACAGAGCGAGACUCCAUCUCAAUCAAUCAAUCAAUAAAGUGAAAAAGCAAGUUAUGUUCUGGGAGAAUACACUUAUAAAACACAUAUUUCACAAAAGACUUACAUCCAGAAUAUAUAAAGAACUUUCAGCAACUUAAUAAAAAGACAAACAACUCACUUUAAAAGUGAGAAAAAGAUGGGAACAGAUACUUCAUAAAGAAGAUAUAUGAAUGGCAAAUGAAAAUGUACUCAAUAAAACUGGUCAUCAGAGAAAUUCCAAUUAAAAUCACCACAUACUUAAAAGAGUGGUUAAGUUGGUUUUGUUGUUGUUGUUGUUUUGUUUUGUUUGUCUUUUAGAGAGGAUCUCAGUCUGUCACCCAGGCUGGAGUGCAGUGGGGCAAACGGCUCACUGUAGCUUCAACCCCCUGGGCUCAAGUGCUUCUCCUGCCUCAGCCUCCCGAAUAGCUCAGACCACAGGUGAGCAUCCCCACAUCCAGCCAAUUUUUAUUUUUUUUGUAGACUCAGAAUCUCUCCACGUUGUCCAGAUGGUCUUGAACUCCUGGGCUCAAGUCAUCCUCCUGGCUUGGCCACCUAAAGUGCUGGGAUUAGAGGCAUGAGCCACUGCACCCAGCUAAAUUUAAAAAUACUAACAAUAACAAAUGUUGACAAAAAUGUGGAGCAUCUGAAACCCACACAUUACUGGUAGGAAUGAAAGAGGGUAAAUUCCCUUUGGAAAAGAGUUUGAGAAUCUCUCAAAGGGUUAAACGUACACUUAUUACAUGACUCAGCAAUUCUACUUCUGGCAAUUUCCCAAGAGAAAUAAGGAUAUGUCAGCAAAAAGAUUUGUACCCAAAUGCCCAUGACAGUUUCAUUUGUAAUAGAUCCAAAUUGUCAAUAAUCCAAAUGUCGAUCGACAGGAUAAUGAAUAAUCAAACUGUGACAUAUCCAUACAAUGGGAUACUACUUGACAAUAUAAAAGAACAAAAGACUUAUAUACACAACACCAUGGAUAAAUCUGGAAAACAUUAUGCUGAAAGAAGACAACACAAAACAAUACAUUCUAUAUUAUUCUGUUUUCAUGAAAUUCUAUGCCAGACAAAACUAAUCUAUAGUGACAAAAAGAUCAGUACGGGGUGUAUUGACUGCAAGGAGGUGCAGGGAAAUUUUCAUGGUAAUAGAUACAUUCUAUAUCUUGAUUGCAUUGGUGGUUAUAUUAUAUAUAUAUAUAUAGUCAAAACUCAUUGAACUAUUUUUUUAUAAUGAUUAGGUAUCAAUAAAGUUAAUUUUUGCCCGGGCAUGGUGGCUUACACCUGUAAUCCCAGCACUGUAGGAGGCCGAGGAAGGCGGAUCACUUGAGGUCAGGAGUUCAAGACCAGCCUAGCCAACAUGGUGAAAGCCUGUCUCUACUAAAAAUACACAAAUUAGCUGGGCGAGGUGGCACAUGCCUGUAAUCCCAGCUACUCAGGAAGCUGAGGUAGGAGAAUCACUUGAAGCCAGGAGGUGGAGGCGGAGGUUUCGGUGAGCCAAGAUUGUACCACUGCACUCCAGCCUGGAUGACAGAACGAAACACCGUCUCAAAAAAAAAAAAAGUUAAUUUUUGAAAAAUAAUAAAGUGAAGAAAACAUUAAAUGAAAGAGACUUUGGGCACUCAUAAAGACGUUUGUUUAUGAAGUGACUGUAGUAUUAUUAAGGCCAACUUAUCAAGUACUUUGUCACUGUAAACAGAAUAGCAAGCAGCCUUAGGGAAUGACAAUAGCUUAGUUCAUGGGAAUUUGCAUUUCAUUUCAACAAAAGAAUUAUGGACAUGAUGAUAUUAUGUUUAUUAGACAAAAACAAUAUAAUGGUUAAGAUUUCAGCCCAUGGAGUCAGACUGAGCCAAAUUCAAAUUACUACAGGUUGAGUAUCCCUCAUCCCAAACGCUUGGGACCAGAAGUGUUUUGGAUUCAGGAUUUUUUCAGAUUUUGGAAUAUUUGCAUAUAUAUAAUGAGAUAUCUUGGGGACGAGACCCAUGUGUAAACAGGAAAUUCAUUUAUGUGUCAUAUACACUAUAUUAAGGAAGGUAUUAAGGAAGACCUAAAUAAAUGGAGGUAACUUUAUUUUUCCCUUGGGGAUGCUGAAAAAACUGUUGUGCACCUGUAUUUUGACUGUGACCCAUCACAUGUAGCAGGUGUGGAAUUUUCUACUUGUGGUAUCAUGUGGGCUUUCAAAAAUUUCAGAUUUUGGAACAUUUUAGAUUUAGAAUUUUUGGAUUAGGGAUGCUCAACCUGUAUCUCUGUAUCCUUGGACAAAUUGCUAAACAUUAAUAUAUCCAUUCACUUUUCUGUGAAAUCAGGAUGCCAACAUCAUCUAUGAUAUAGGAUUGUUUUUAAAAAGUACUCAGUGUUUUCCAUGACAUAUAAUAGUUUAAUAAAUGUUAGCCAUUAUUCUUAAGUUAUAGCCAUGGCUCUUCCCAGUACCCCUGUGAGGGAAACAGGGAUGGUACUAUAAUCUCCAGUCACCGCUGGAAAUCAAGAUAGGAUGGUAAAAUAUUAUUACUCUCCUCAGCAUCAUGAGCCCUUUUACAGCAGAGCUGGAAUCAGUCACUAGAGCUCCAGAAUUCUAUUUCUAUACUCUUGGCAUUACACCAUUCUUUAUUUCCACUUGCUAUAAAAUGUCAGGGCACAAGAAAGAGGACAGGGCCACUGAGGCAGACAUCCUAUGGUUAUAGCUUAGUAAAGAUUUAAUCUGAAGGCCAGACAGGUUCCAGGAAGUGCUGAAAGAUUAUUCCAGGGCAGUGCCACUCAGUGUGGUCCACAAGCUGAACUGUUUCUGUUUCACAGGGAAAUAAGAAUAAAAAUUGAGAAUAUGCGUUUAGAAACUUUUAUAGCAAUUUGACACAGUGAUUUUAUUCUUUUUCUUUUUGUUUUUUAGAAAUGGGGUCUCACUGUUGCCCAGGCUGGAAUGCGGUGGCUACUCACAGACACAAUCCCACUACUGAUCAGCACUGGAGUUUUGACCUGCUCCACUUCUGACCUGGGCAAGUUCACCCCUUCUUAGGCAACCUAUGGUCCCCCACUCCUGGGAGGUGGGAGGUCACUAUAUUGAUUAAGAAUUUAGCGUGGAGACCCAAUCAGCAUAGAGCACUAUAGCCCAGAACUACUGGACUCAAGUGAUCCUCCUGCCUCAGCCUCCUGAGUAGCUGGGUCUGUAGGCACAGACUAGCAUGCCUGACAACAUCGUGAUUUUAUAUCUGUUGAAUUUAAAAAUAAAAAUUGUGUUUGUAUUGUCUGUGUUAUUUUUAACCAUUUAUUUUUCCAGAAACUCAAAUUUUAUUUUAUUUUACAAAAGUAUCAGUCUGUGACAGAUUUGAAAAUAAACAAACUAGUCAAGGGAAAAGACACCCUUGAGUCUUGAGAAUGAAUGGGCAAGAGUGGAGAAAAGAAGGUGGAGAGAAGGGUGAUAGUUCUUGAAAACCAGGCAGUUCCUUUACAGAAUGGAUAACGGAUGCAUAGGACCAUCUGAGUUAUUCACUGAAUUACCAAAUUACUAUCCAAACUAAAUUUAUUCAAGACAGACCUAAAAAGAGACAUCACGGUGUGGGGAAGGUAGUAAGAUUAGUAAGAACUACAAGCACUUCCUUUUCCUGCUUUUAGUCGUCUCAGCUCUACAGCUACUGUUUUGUUUUGUUUGUUUGGCUUUUUGUUUUUUCAUUUUGGGAUCUGUCAGUGUUAGCAUCUACAGCUACUGUUCUCCUCUCCAAUUUCCCUCUCCUUUCCAAGGACCAUGGUGAUUCCCAUCAGAUGUUAAAGACUGGCUUAGCCCACACUAACGAGAGGGAAUCCCCAAAUAGUGGAGACUUACUACUGGAAAGUCCUCUAGAGGUCUUUUUGAUCCAGAUGGGCAAAAUGAGAAUCAGACAGGAAAAGGGACUUGUCUAAAGCCACCUGGCCUGUUACCAGCAGAUACCAGGCUUUUACUCCUUGAUAACCUGGGUAAAUGGGAGAUGAGCGAGCUUUUUUCGUCAAUAUCUCCAUCGUUUAUUCUAUCUGAUAGAUUCACUUAGGUUAACAAGGAAAUGUGCAGGGUCACCAUGUUGUACCACUCCAGGCAGCACCAGUCAGAGUGAUCUGUGUAUAGGAGUUGCGCAAUACAACAGCCCAGGUAGACACCACUUAGGAGAAAAGAGGGCUGUUGUCUGUUUACAUGUUUGUUAGAUUUUAGAAAGGAAAUCUGAUUAAACUAACCUAUAUUAACAGGAAACAAAAAUAACCUCACUGAGCUGCUCAGAAGUGCUAAGUACUGCAUUAGACAUUGGCUAUCCCAUUGAACUCUAACUAUACAUCUUCAGGGUGGCUAUUUUUUUUUUUUUUUUUUUUUGCCAGUGCCUACUAUAUUGCAAGUCAUCAUGGUGGAGUGUUGGGAAAAGUUUUCAAUUAGCAAUAAUCACACCUCGGAUAAACCUCACUGGCUACAAUACCACCACUGUGCAAAGCUAGGGUUGAUAUUCUUAUCCCCGUUUGAUAAAUAAGCUGAGGUUCAAAAAAGUUAUGUGACCGAGUUCACAUUGCUAAGAGUGGCAGAGUUAGGAAUUGAAUCUAAAAAUCUAUCUGAUAUCCAAAUUCAAGCUCUUUCCAUAACAUUAUGGCAGGAAUUUAGGAGACUUCCUUAAAAUACUGUAUUCCUACCUCCUAUAUAUGAAACAGGCAGUGGGAGAAAAAAGGUAUGAAGUGUGCAUCCUCAUCUGGACAAUUCCCAGAAUACCAGCAUUGAGUGGCCUUUAUUCAGAAAAGGAAAAGGGUCUUGUGGUUUUUUUUUUUUUUUUUUGAUCUAUGAGUCUAUAGAGGGGUAUCACAGAAGCUUCCUGAAUGACCCUGUUCCAUUGUUUCAAUCUUUUUCCAGAAUGGCAUGGUUUUAGAAUAAUAUUCAUUAUAGCUACUUAAUUAAAACCAUUUAUUUAUUUAUUUAUUUAUUUAUUGAGACCAAGUCUCGCUCUAUCACCCUGGCUGGAGUGCAGUGGUGCAAUCUCAGCUCACUGCAACCUGUGCCUCCUGGGUUCAAGAGACUCUCGUGCUUCGGCCUCCUGAGUAGCUGGGAUUACAGGUGCCCACCACCACGCCCAGCUAAUUUUUGUAUUUUUAGUAGACACAGGGUUUCAUCAUGUUGCCCAGGCUGGUCUUGAACUCCUGACCUCAAGUGAUCUUCCUGCCUUGGCCUCCCAAAGUUUUGGGAUUACAAGCGUGAGCCACCACGCCUGGCUGAAACCAUUUAUUUCUGAUUAAACAAUGUGGUACUGUCAUCCAGUUGUAUAAACUUGUGCCAGGCUUUCACAGUGUGUUGCUUGUGCAAUGUGGUCAUCCACUGACAUUUUUUAAAAUCUAGAGGUAAAACCACUGCUUUUAGGGUGCGGUGGGGGGAGUUAAAAAUGGAGCUUAAAACUCUAUUAAUCUUGCCAUUUUGUGUGUAGUUGUUGAAUUUUUGCUUGUUACACUAUUUAUUGUGUCUACCUUGCUACUAAUGUUUGACAUUCUGAUACUAUGCAAAGCAGAUGGUCCUGGUUAGAUGAUCCUGAAUCAUCCAUGGAAUGAUGAGGAAGAGAGGAGGGGAUCUCUCAGCCUGAAUGUAUGACAUAUCCCACAGAAACCCCUGGAUAUGUCUAUGCUGAUUUGCUACAACCACUCACAACCAGGCCUUCUGGCCAUAAAAGGAUAAAAGCCUACUAGUGGUGACCUUGCCCAUCGCCAAGGACUAAGAGCCAGUGACAGAUACCACUUUCUGGCGGAGACCGUAAGACCACUGCAAGCUUUGCCAUGCUUUCACCACUGCCCAAGGCGACCUGCAAUUCUUCAUAUUGGCUCCUCCAGCAGACUGGGUCCCUGAGUGAGAAAGAACACAAGUGGAGCCCCAUCCACCAUGUGAGGGAAUUGGAGUCGUUCACUAAAAAAGUCCUUUGUU
This is a long non-coding RNA of Symphalangus syndactylus (siamang), 6066 nucleotides long. RefSeq lists it as uncharacterized. The record is from RefSeq and is a predicted model, not a curated record. Lineage: Eukaryota; Metazoa; Chordata; Mammalia; Primates; Hylobatidae.